RNAcentral lists this ribosomal RNA (2129 nucleotides) under Thermoplasmatales archaeon UBA577. RNAcentral's name for it is "bacterial LSU rRNA". It matches the Rfam family "Archaeal large subunit ribosomal RNA", at positions 1 to 2205 of the family's 2987-position model. The record is from RNAcentral. Lineage: Archaea; Methanobacteriati; Thermoplasmatota; Thermoplasmata; Thermoplasmatales.
CAAUCUGUGAAAACUGUCUGGGGGAUGGUUUGGUUUGAGAGCCGAUGAAGGACGUGCCAAGCUGCGAAAUGUCUUGGGGAGGCGCAAGGAGCCCUUGAUCCGAGAAUGUCCGAAUGGGACUUCCUGUCGUAAGACACUCCGAAAGGAGAGGGAACUCAGGGAAUUGAAACAUCUUAGUACCUGAAGGAAAAGAAAUCAAUUGAGAUACCGUUAGUAAAGGCGAUCGAAAGCGGUAUAAGGCAAACCGAAUUUUCUUUUGAAGAAAAGGAAAAGUUGUGGUGUAUGGACUCUUCCCAACAUCUAGUAUACGAAUCAGAAUGGCCUGGAAAGGUCAACCAAAGAAGGUGAUAGUCCUGUAAGAGUAAGUAUAAAGGUUACGAGGAAGAAGUUCCGGAGUACCGUGCGUCGUUAUUCGCGCGGGAAGAUGGGUGGCAUCAACAUCCAACCUUAAAUACUUCUCAAGUCCGAUAGCGUACAAGUACCGUGAGGGAAAACUGAAAAGCAACCCGGAAGGGUAGUGAAAAGUACCUGAAACCAGACAGUGAUAAACUUAUAGGGCGCUAAAGCGGUGAUCUUCCUAACACGAAGUGAGCGGCGUUCUAUUAUCCGUGUUGAAGAACGGGCCAGGGAGUUUUGUUGAGUGGCGAGGUUAACUCUUAUGAGAGGUAGCCGUAGCGAAAGCAAUUACACGCACAGCAAUGGAGGUGUAACGUAAUAAAUGCGUCAGUCACUUGAGGAAGACCCGAAUCCGGUCGAUCUACACCUGAGUAGGUUGAAGCUAAGUGAAAACUUGGUGGAGGACCCAACUGGUUCUGAUGUGCAAAUCGUUCAGAUGACUUGGGUGUAGGGGUCAAAGGCCAAUCUAGGCCGGUAAUAGCGGGUUCCCCCCGAUACUACCCGCAGGUAGACCUCAGCAGAGAUGUUGGGCGAGGUAGAGCGACCGAAUAGUUGGUUAGCUGAUGAAAAUCAGCGUCGACUUAUCGAACUCCGAACUUGUCCAAAUCGUAGAAGCUGGGUGCUAGGGUACAGGGAUAAGCUCUGUACCCGUGAAGGGAACAUCCUAGACGAGGGUUAAGGUCCCUAAAACUAACUAAGUGCAAAUUAAAGAGGUUAAUGGCCUAAGACAGUGUGGAGGUAGGCUUAGAAGCAGCCAUCCUUCAAAGAGUGCGUAACAGCUCACUCACCGAGGCUAUUUGCCUCGAAGAUGGAAGGGGCUAAAGUUAGUUACCGAGACCUUCGAGCACCGAAAGGUGAUCUGGUAGGGGGGCGUGCCAUUUGGGCGGAAGCUUCUUCGAGAGGAGGAGUGGACCGAAUGGCAUCGCGGAUCUUGGUAAAAGUAGCAGAUAAGAAUUGUGAGAAUCAAUUCCGCCGAAAGGGCUAAGGGUUCCUUGGCAAUGUUCGUCAGCCGAGGGUUAGUCGAUCCUAAGGUUAUUCCUAACAGGAGAUGACCGAAUGGGAAGACGGUUAAUAUUCCGUCACCAUGAAUGUUUUGCCAUUAAUGAAGGUUCGAGAUAAGGGGAGUACACUUGCCUGUGUAUUUCUAAUUAUAAGUGGAUGGAGAGUUGUAAUGACGUAAAGUCUGCAAAAAAUUAGCAGUUCCCGUUUGGGAAUUCCUUUAAUUCUUGGAUCCUGUGAAAACCAUUAAUGGGUCAAGUUCAUGUUCGUACCAAGAACCGACACAGGUGCCCCUGGAUGAGAAGUCCAAGGCGUUUGGGAAUAAUGGACGCGAGGGAACUCGGCCAAAUAGCUCCGUAUCUUCGGUAGAAGGAGUGCCUGUUCCGAGAGGGAACAGGUCGCAGUGGCAAGGGGACCCCGACUGUUUACCAAAAACACAGGCCGCUGCUAGUUCGAAAGGAUGUGUAUAGCGGUCGAAACCUGCCCAGUGUCGGUACCUGAAAGUCCCGUUCAAGGGAAAGAAGGGCCGAUAAACGGCGGGGGUAACUAUGACCCUCUUAAGGUAGCGUAAUACCUAGCCGCUUAAUUGGCGGCUUGCAUGAAGGUUCAACGAGAGUCCCACUGUCCCCGCGUUCAGCCCCGUGAAAUUGAUGCACUGGUGCACAAUCCAGUAUCUCCCACAUGAAAGCGAAGUCCCCGUGGAGCUUUACUGCAGCCUGUAGCUGUAAUACGGU